Molecule: long non-coding RNA, 796 nt
Organism: Zeugodacus cucurbitae (melon fly)
Lineage: Eukaryota; Metazoa; Arthropoda; Insecta; Diptera; Tephritidae
Exons: 2
Source: RefSeq, a predicted model, not a curated record
AUUAUUUUUUUUAUUUUAUUUUUAUUUUAUUUUUACUUUUGGUGCAGAAGAAAUAUUGAAAUUUAGUACCUGUAGGUCAACCGCAAGGCAUAAUUUUGACUCAUUUUAUUUGUUUCUAUUUUUUGGGAAUUAAUAAAGUAGUUAACUGUCCGUUAAAAAUCUCAAAAAAUAAGUGGAGAAAAAAUGCAAAUAUAUUUAUUAGAAGUUAAAAGUACCAAUCUCGAACUCUGAACUAAAUACCAUACGAACUACUUCGAAAUUGAAUUCGAAAAAUUUGAAAAAAAAAAUUGUCUAAAAGCCUUUGUGAUGCAAUUUGUUAUAAAUCAAUAAUAUGAAAGUACAUGAGUUUUAAAUGCAAGAUUAAGAUUCGUUAUAUUAAAAUUCACCACGCUAGAUUUAUAAGCGCUUGAAUUAAAUACGGCUAAUCUACAUUUAAGAAUUGGUCUGAGAACGCUUGCAAAUGUCACCGCCAAAAUGGACACAUCACAACACCAAAAAUGUCAUCAAAAUCACAAAAAUAAUGCUAAUUUAUUUACACAGUGGCCACGUCAAAAGCAAAUAACAUACAUAUAUUUCUUUCAUUAUAUUUCGAAAAGUUGUUGCUUUCUUCAAAAAAAUUAUAAUUUUCUGUUCACAUAUUUGGUUUUGCGAAUUUUAAUUUGCUGCAGUCAUCGCCCAAGCAUUGAAAUCAUAAUCACAACCAUUGAUAAUAAGCUAGUAUAUGGUUUUUAAACGAAUAAAAAAAUGUUGCUUGCACGCCUAAAUGUAUGCAUUGUAAUAUUUAUUGUAAAUUGCA